This 179-nucleotide ribosomal RNA is filed under the name Staphylococcus aureus. RNAcentral's name for it is "partial 16S ribosomal RNA". It matches the Rfam family "Bacterial small subunit ribosomal RNA", at positions 1 to 174 of the family's 1533-position model. Lineage: Bacteria; Bacillati; Bacillota; Bacilli; Caryophanales; Staphylococcaceae. The record is from RNAcentral.
UUUAUGGAGAGUUUGAUCCUGGCUCAGGAUGAACGCUGGCGGCGUGCCUAAUACAUGCAAGUCGAGCGAACGGACGAGAAGCUUGUUUCUCUGAUGUUAGCGGCGGACGGGUGAGUAACACGUGGAUAACCUACCUAUAAGACUGGGAUAACUUCGGGAAACCGGAGCUAAUACCGGAU